Molecule: long non-coding RNA, 248 nt
Organism: Triticum dicoccoides
Lineage: Eukaryota; Viridiplantae; Streptophyta; Magnoliopsida; Poales; Poaceae
Exons: 3
Source: RefSeq, a predicted model, not a curated record
AUCGAGCCGCAGGGUGAGCCCGCUCUGGUGAAGGAGUGGAUCGAGGAGAACGGCCUGCGCUGUUCUUCAAUCACGUUCUGGUGAAGGAGUUGAUCGCCGGAGAACGACCUGCUCAAUCUUAUUGCUUUCAACUUGAUCAACGUCUGCCCUUUUAUUCGUGGAAGAAGCAGCCCCUGAGGAAGACCUGCUCUCCUUUUCAAUCUGAAGAAGAAGAAUCAGCCGGGGUUGUAUUUUGUCAAUUGAGAUGG